This 110-nucleotide small nuclear RNA is filed under the name Catagonus wagneri (Chacoan peccary). Lineage: Eukaryota; Metazoa; Chordata; Mammalia; Artiodactyla; Tayassuidae. The record is from RNAcentral.
GCUUGCUUCAGCAGCGCAUACACAAAAAAAACUGGGGAUGAUACUGAGAAGAUUAGCUUGGUCCCUUAUGCAAGGAUGACAUGCAAAUUCAUGAAGCAUCCUGUAUUUUA